CAGCUUCAUGCAUCUUAUUUUUCAGUGGACACACACACAUUAACUGAUUUCUUACAUGUCCUAACAAGGCUGAGUGAGAUGGCCACCUUAGACUACUAGUUUUGUAUGUGCUGAGAAGGAAGCAAAUAGUCUUGUAGAGCUUGGGAGCAGGUAGACCUGAAGAAAAACAUGUGAAAAGAGAAAGCUUCCCAAAAGCUCGAACUAUUCUUCUAAUUCCAGUUCCUUUUCCUGCCAUGAUACAUCAAUUCAAACAAACUGCCAUCCUUGACUCUUUCAUCUUCCAAAUCUUGGCACCCGCUCAUUUGCUUAUGACCAAUCAGGUUGCUCUUAUGCAAAAUAGCUCCUCUCCUGGUGCUGCUGCUCCCUGAGAACCACAAAAUGGCUGCUCACACGCCAGCCCUAUAAGGUAGGUCAAAUCUGGAACUUUGUUUAUUAAUUAUAGUUGGCAUGAAUGCUCACCAGGCCAUUCCCUCUCAAUUUAUUGUGGUCUAAAAUCCAUAACAUGCUCACCAAUGGUUCCUCUUCAUCCUGGAAAGAAGUGACUAAUGGGCUGGGGCAUUCUUCUCAAGUCUGCAGAUUGGGAUGAAUAGCUAAUACUCCAGAAGACAGGAUCAAACUGACCUUAAUAGAUUAGAGAACUGGGCCAAAACUAACAAAUUUCAACAACGAAAAAUGUAGUAUCCUACACUUUUGGUCUACAGAUUUAGUAUUAAAAUGCUGUUGUUGCUGCUGAAAAACAUCUAGCUAGACCGGGGACAUGGGGGGAAAGGGCUGGGUAGGUGUAAAAAGACUGUAAAAAUAGCUUAUGUUAGGAACACUUCUUUAUUAACUGAGGUAUACCUGUGAAUGUAAAUAAAUAUCUCCCUUCCUUUUCUAGUGGGCAAUAAUUUGAUCAUAGCACGUGAUACAGCUAUAUGCUUCCAAGUAAUUAAAGCCAUCAGAUUUAAACAGUAUCUAUUAUCCUAUAUUUUAUAUUUUAUCUGCCAUGUAUCUGUUUGGCAAGUUAUUUUCUGGGAUAGACAGAUGGUUGACAUGGAAACCAAGAAACGCAGUUACUCAUGAUGAGUCAGUCUGCAUUUGUAUACUGAACCUCAGGGGAAUGCUGAGAACAAUAACUCAUUUGUGAACAUAGUUAUUAUCCACCCUGGGACCACACCUUUAACACAAGUUCUGGAAUUGCCUAACAUUCUUCAUUUAAAGAGAUAUUAAUGGGCCCUGGAAUAGGGAUAACAAGGGGGGCCCAGUCCCCAAUUCUAAGCUAGAAGGGUCCUCCAUGAGGCAGUGAGAUAAAUUGCAUUGCUAAAACCCUCAGGAAUUAUUAAAUGUUUACUAAAUACGUAAUCAAGAACACAUACACAACUAUUGAAGUAGUAGACGGCUAAUGUAACUGAGUUUCCCAUUGCUGUGACUGCGCCUUCGGGGAUUAUGGUUGAUGGUGAUGGAAUUCGAAGAGGAAGAAAAAACCCUCGUGAUGAGGGUUCACUGGAGGAGUUGCGCAGGAAGCGACUUAGAGAGCUAUAUGGGGGAUCUUCUGAGGAAGAUUCAGAUGGGGAGAUGGAUGCUGAGGAACAGGUGGUGGCUGGGGAAGCGGGCACUGAAUGGGCACAGCCACCGGAGAUGUCUGGGGAUUUGGGGCCUAUGGAUACUUCUGAACCUGGGGUUUCUGCAGGAACUGAUCCCAAUUGGGAUGCUUGGAGAAGGGAGGAUGGUUCUUUAAGUGUUCAUGGGGCUAAGUGUGGGCAGGAUGAUUGGGACUCCAACGAAUUGCUAGGUACUCCAGAUCCAUGAGCUCUAGCUGUGGGGAGUUCAGACUCUUGAGUAGAUUUGGGACACCUGGUGUUUGGGUGUGAGUGUUUGGUCACCCAGGAGGAAGGGGAAUAAAAUGGGAAUGUUUGGCCACUGCACUUUGCGUGUGGCAAGGUGUUGCUGAGGCGCCAUUGGGAUCUCUGUGUUUCCAUGAAGACUGGACUUGGACUAUGAUUUGAAUCUGCUGAUAUCAUCUAGCUUAGCUCUUGCUGUGUCUUAUCGUGGACCUGUUUUGGAUGACUGCACCCUCUUCGGACUUUGGAUUGAAUUUGACCUGGCUUCUAUCUACGCCCUCUGAAUGACGGCUACUCCCGGCUUCUGACUAUUGGUUUGUCUUUCGGAAUUUCUGCUGCCUCCUGACCUGAUCUUGGAUUCUUCUGACGACGGCUAUUCAUCAUCCCUUUGAGGCUCUCGGCUUAUCUGCACCGUGGAAGCAGCUUUACUGCUUUUCUAGUUUGUUUAUUUUACAGCAAUUAACUCUAUUUGUUUUCCAAAGCUGAAUUGAAGCGUUAUUUAGUUUUUUAUUGAAUGCCAGCAUGGGAAAUUAACGUGGCUCGUUUUUGAGUUAUUAUUGUCCAAUCUACUCUCGAAACACUGAAAAGUGAAGUGUUUCAAGGAUAUUUCCUGUGUUUAUGUUAUUUUUUGGCUUAUCUUCGGAAUAAACUUUGUUUUGUAUGUUAACUGGCGUCUGACUCUUGACACCCAUGAACAGUAAAAUCUGCUGAACACGAGAAGGGAGACCCUUGAAAUACACAUUAUAUUUGCAAGAAUCUUUGUAUUUAAAAAAGACUACAUUAUAACUAACAGUGAAAUAAUUUGCUCUCUGCCAGUUCCAAAUUUCCU
Molecule: long non-coding RNA, 2649 nt
Organism: Anolis carolinensis (green anole)
Lineage: Eukaryota; Metazoa; Chordata; Lepidosauria; Squamata; Anolidae
Exons: 3
Source: RefSeq, a predicted model, not a curated record